CUGCUUCCACCGUUUCUACAAUCUUAAUUGUAAACCCCACUACCUUCAAAUACCCAUGUUACACCACUUUCACGGCACUAUAACCAGCACACACACAACUCUUUAUCUGUACAGCAAAAUCACAUAAAUAACUAGACAUUAAUAAUCUAAGCAUGCUCAUAUAUAGAAAUAGAGCCAAAGAUCCGAUUCAAAAAGGUGAGAAUUCUAAUAUAUUACAUAUAUGCUACCAUGUUCGAUUUUUAGAAAAUGUCGGACAACAGACAUCAAGCCCAAAAUAUUCCAAAUAAAUAUUUUUACCUAAACUAGAUUAUAUUAAUUUGAUAAAAUAAGAGACCCCAGAAUUAGUCAAAAUAAUGCAACAUAAAUGAAGCAUUUCUACAGUCUUAUUUUGUAUUCAUCCAACAAUCAGAAAAAGCUUUCACUAAUAUGAAAAACGCAUUUGACAAAGCUAAAGAAACCCAGAAUAAAAACGCCUAAUAAAGAGGAAAUUCAUGUGAAAAACCUUGAUUUUUUAGAAACUGGGCUAGAAACUGACAUGCUUGCCUAAAACGGAUGAGCACUUUUAGAGAUAGAGAAAGACAGCGAAGUUAGAGAUCCAUCACAAUCCAUUGUUUAGAUAUUUUUACGCGUGCAGUUGAAGGAAACCACUAGCUUCAAAAUACCAUAAAGAGACAUACAAAGGUGUCGUAUAAAUACUUGUUGAGAUGAGCAUAUAAUUAGUCAUCGGUUGUUUCUCUCAUCGAUUCAACCUGCUCUUAGAGCCCUUACUCGUUCGUGAAUGAAAAUUGGUCGUAUAGGUAUCAAAUCCCCAAAACUUAUUUAGCCCUUGUAUAACUAUAAUUGGUGAUAUACAUUACACUCACAUGAAACUGACCUUGCUUUGAAUCCAUUAUGUACGAGUCUGCGAAUUAUUGUUAAUGAUAGAUUAUGCUUGCACACUCACUGUGUAAAAUCAAUAUUUGUUGGAUUAAAAGUUUCUACUCUUGAAUAAAAAUCAAUACUUGUUAAAUUGCUAUUUCUGCUGUUGUAAAAUUUAACUUGCAAAAUUUUUUAGCUAACGUGAGAAACAUGUUAGUUCCUAAACAUGUCAAAUUAUUGCGGUACUAUAUCUUCUGUCUUUAAGCUGCUGUCAUUCACAAAUGUAGAGUUCUGGAGUAUAUAGAGCCAAAAGAUUAGUUGAGGGUGAUUUUGAUACAGCUUCUUGUGAAAUUGCUGAUAUAACUUUCCAUCAAGACCCAUUGCACACACAAGAUGCCAAAAGACAAAAAAAAAAAAAACAAGAUUAUGGGUUGUCUAAAUCAGUUGGUGAAGGAUUAGCGUCUCCUUUUGACAACACAGCAGUUUCCAACAUUAAUAUGCACCGAACAUAGACAUAAUUGCUUGCUCCUUCUGCCAUUCUUCUAAGCAGAUAGAAGUAAGUUUCAACAUAAAUAAUGUCUCUUAUAUUUUCAUCGUUAUGCAAGUCUUAUGCCAUCAACUUUCUGUUGUUGCCAUAAAAAAAUUGUGGAUUAGAGGUAAAAUAUAUCUCUACAUGUUUGAAUAAGUCUUUGUUUCUUUGAACUAAUUUAUUUUUUCCUAAAUAUUGUAGUAGACAGGACCAAUGCUUUACUAUGCCAAGGGAAAGGAAGUAGUAGGAGAUGUUGCUGCUCUAUUAUGCACUCUUCAUCUGUUGAUAUCAAAUCCUAAUCCCGAUUUCUUUGAGCUUUAUACAUCAAAAAACAAACAUGCAGGAAGAUUUUCUAAUGCUCUGUCCAACUCACAACUCUGCUAAAUUCCCAAGAGAAAAAUCCAUGUAUGUUCUCACAUGGUAGAAAUACAACUUAAAUUCUAACACUAAUUCUAUCAGCAGCUCCACCUCCAUGCAGGACCCAAUUUCUCUCUCCCUAUAAUCAUCAUAGAAGACAACCAAUUUCCACACAUUCAUCAAAAUUGCACUGCCUAAACAGCUUUACAAUUUUGUCCCAAACCUUUUUAUUUGCAGCUCGUAUCCUGUGAUUUAGAUUAUCACUGGAAUAAUGUGCGUUUGAUAAAUAAUUACUCAUACAUCACAGAAACAGAAUUGGGGGUGAUUACAAAUGAGAAAAAUUCUGGAAUUCGUGUUCCAUUCCGCAUCCAAUCACAUGGAAUCUCAAAAUCAAGAAAAACAAAAACAAAAUUGGAAUCUGCAACUUGAAAUAAUGAGGACCCAUGAAAAAACGAACCCUAACAAUUUUUAAACAAAGAGAAUCGACAAAACUGAAACAUCAAGAAUAUGGUGGGUUGAUUGUUAAACUAACCUCAAUCUAUGCAGUCAUCGCCUCGUUGCCAACCUUUCGCAGUGAUUUCCCCAGAGGCAAAUCGUCGAUUUCUUCUUCCUGGUUCGGUUGAAUCGAUGAGAGAGUGAGACGCCUUCCUAGUUCCUUUCAAUCGAUGAGAGCAGGUUGAAUUGAUGAGAGAGACGGUACGUGGGUAGAGAUGAGAGAGAGAGAGAUAUUCACGUGGGUUGGUUACUAGAAUUUUUGGAAGGGUUAAAUUCCACCUUACCCCAAGGAAAAUAUUUUCCUUGUUUUCAAGGAAAAUGUGGUCACGUGACCAAAAUACGGAAAAUAUUUUUCUUGGAAAAAAUUGUCAAUCAAACAAGACAAAAGUAAGAAAUUAGGUGGAAAAACCCGUUUUCCAUAGAAAAUGUGUGCAAUCAAAUGCACCCUAAGAUUUCAAAGUCAUAAGUUUAUUUUGACAACUCAAAUUUAAACUCAUUUAGCCACGUUUUCUCUCUCAAACUAUUAUAUCUAUAUAUAAAUUUAUUUUGCCCUUUUUUCCAUAAAUUAAAGAACCUUUAAAUCUAAAAAUUCUUUGAAGAAAUAUACGCUGCAUUUUAUUUCCUUGGACACGAAAGGAUAUUCAAACUCCAAAUAUUAAGGUAUGGGUGUUUCGGCACUUCUGUAAGUGAUAUAAAAAUUAUUUAUUUUGGUUUUGCAUUAAACGUGUUAUUGUAUUACUCAUGAAGUAAACGAUUGAAGGUUACACUAAUAACCAAAGUUUGUAUUUGUGUUGUUGUGUUACUAAUGAAGGAAGCACCGUUUGGUGUUUCAAAUAAAAGAAAGAGAUUGCGGUGACACCAAUGACCAACGUUUGCAUUUCUGAAAAUAUAUAUAUUUUUACCAUUUAUUUCAAUGCCUUCCUACUGAGUAUUAUUUGUGGUAUUCAUCCCUAUUAAAAUAUUACAGGUUGAUUCGAGGCAUGGUCGUGGUUUGGCAAAGUGGCAAGUACUCGGUGACUUAAAAAGCUGCAACUUUCUAGUAAAAUUUCUAGUAUGUGUAAAUGUGUUUUGAAUACUGAGAUGACACCUUUAAAAUUGUUUAGAUAUCUUUUUCAUCUAGUUUUAUAUGCAUUGUAUGUCGACUAUAAUUUAUAAAUGUUGUAUUUGUCUAUGCAUAAAGUUUAAGUAUUGCUGUAAUGAAAUUUUAGAUUAUGCCCUUCUACUCAAAGUAGCAUAACUAAGGCUAUAGCAUAUAUUUUAGAGUGAAGUCAGUGAUAUUUGAAAGUUUUACGAGUCUUAUAAUAAUGGCCUUUGGAAUUACCCAAAAAUAUUAACUAGAGAAAAAGUUAUGCUCGUUUUAGUAAACUGUGUUAGGUUAGAUCCAAAUUUUUUGUCCAGCAUGGUCAAACAAUAUUUUCAUACUUCAAACAUUAUCGUCAAGAUCCCUAACUUUUAUAUGUUGUACAAAUAUGAAUGUUUUAGUCUCUGUUAAAAUUUCAUAAUUUUUAGUCGUCGUGCUAGACCAAACAUAUUUUUCUUUCCACUACUGUGCAAUUGGUAAUUGCUGAAUUUUUCUCAAAUGUUUUCCAAAAAUCAAAUUUUACCAAACUUGUCUAAGUUUACAUUGACAAAUGUCUCAUUAUUUCUCAUAUAUUUCAAACUCCAAAUUUUUUCUUAUUUACAAUUUUUUGGUUAACAUCAAAGGAGUCAAACCAAAGAAAGAUUGAUUUUUUUUAAGCUUUGAGUUCUGAGAGUUUGGGGCGUUACACAAUCGCUCUACGUGACAUAUAUGUAGCAGUUAAUGAUUUAUUACGUAAAGUAAUAAAAAUUAUUACAUUAAUGUAUCAAAUCACAAGCUGUCAUAUGUAUGUCUUGUAGGAUGAAUACGGUAGUAAACGACUGUGAAUAAUAUUAACAUCAUAUAUGAUUCUUUCUUCUAUAGCCUUAAACUCUGCAUGGACGCUUUCACGCACUUAAUAUUAGAGUGUAUUUGAUUGGUAUGGAAAAUAUCACAUAGAAAGUAAAAUAUUUUCCUUCUUUGGUGAAAAACAAAAACCACAUCCACUCAAAAAAAAAAUGUUUUCCAUAAAAACAAUGAAAAUUAGGGUCUGUUUGAUUGUAAAGAUGGAAUUGAAUUGUUUAGAAAAUGAAUUUCAAGGAAUUGAAUUGUCUUUCAUGAGAAUUGUAAAUUAUUGUGUUUGAUUGGUAUAAUUUUUCACGUGAAAAAUGUUGAAAUAAAAGUGUUUAUUGGUGUUCGUUUGAUUUUGUUUUACAUAAAAAUUGUCAAUUAAAGGGAUAUAUUUUACUGGUAUUGGAGAUUAAAUUUGAUUCCAUUGCCAACAUAAAAAACAAACAAACAAACAAACAAAACAAAACAAAACAAAACAAAAAUUUUAAGAAAAUCAUUUAUCUUUCGGUAUUCGUUUGACUUUGUUUUAAAUGAAAAUUGUCAUUUAAAUGGAAAUAUUUUUAUACAAUAAUUCUUAAAAUUUGUUUUCAUUGCAAAAAAAUGAAAAAAAAAAUGCUGCAGUAGGUAGAAAAACCAAUUUCCUAGCAUAUACGAUGUGAAUUGGUUUUCCUUAAAAACCAAGAAAAGUGCAAACUUCAAGACAACCAAGAAUUAGAAUUCCAUGGGAAAAAAAAAAUGUAUCAAACGUCUGAAGUUGGAAAAUACAAUUCUAAUUCCAUUUCAACCCUAUCAAACACACCCUACGGCAUAUUUUCAAAAGUUGAAAAAUGUUUUCCCUAAAAAAAAAUAGCUAUCAAACACUCCAAAUAAGAAUUUGGUUAGAACAUUGAUAUUUUUCAUAAAAAAUAAAUGUGAUUAAUCAAACCCAUUCUUAAAAUAAAUAUAUAGUUGUGACCUCGAAAUUCUGAGACAUGAGAUUUCAACCACCAACAUCCCAUCCGUAGGUUAUUAGCACUCCUUUCAAGAAUAUUAUCGUGUCUCUCAUUUUCAACUCCUUCCAACUUGAAAACCCAAGACUAGUUUUUGGAAAACCCUACCCAAGCUCAAUUAAUUUUGUUAAGGGAAAAAAUUACGAUUUUUUUUUUUAAUGCAUUAGCCCGUAUAAUUUGAUUUUAUUUUUUGGGAACCCCAGGCUUUGCCCUUGAGUGAGUAUAUUCGUUCAAGAAGAGGUCCAGAAGAUGUUGACUUUGAUACAUGUACAUCAAAUUUUAUACAAUGAGUUACAUAAUUUCACACGUCACUUUAUCAUUUGUUAAUUUAAUAUACAAUCAAAUUUUCAUCCAAUUUUUUUCCUCUAACAUCAUUUUAUUAACUUGUUAUGUACUAUAUUUAUGUACAAAUAGUAUAAUCUGAAUUUAAAUUAAUCUAUCUCAUGUUGUUUUUCAAAUUUGAUAAUUGGACAUAUCCUCGAACCCAUCAAUAUUGUUAAUUGGAUCGGCCCAUAAUGUCAAUUUUUAUUUCUAAAAAUUUAAGACUUGUUACGUUUGUGUUUCAAUUUUUCAAUUUUGGGUUCUGAAUUCAUUUUAAAUUUUCUAGAUUGAGAGUCUAUUUUAAGAUUACUAAAAAUAUGUUUGAUUUGUUAUUUUGAAAAAUUAUUUCUCAAAAUAAAAAAUUAGAAAAUAUGUUUAGUUCGAAAUUUUGAAAAAUUAUUAUUUGUUAGAAUUUUAUAUUUUAAUUUUUUAAAAUUUUUGAAAAGUUAUUUCAACGAUUGUUUUCCAUGUUAAACGAUCGUUUUGAAUUUUAUGUAAUAAAUCUAUCCUUAUUUUUGAAAUUUUAUUUAAAUGAUCAUUUUAAAUUUUAUGUUAUAAGUUUAUCCUUAUUUUUGAAAAUGCAUUUUUAGAAAUAUUUGACCAAACACAUUUUCAGCGUUUUGCAAAAUUGAAAAUUGAAAACAAUAUAAAAACAUCAAACCAAAUGCACCAUUAAAUUCUACAUGGUACAUAUUUCUAAAAAAUUAUUUUUUUCAAACUUAUUUUUAACUUGAUAUUCUUCCAAUAAAAUAAUUCAUAUGGAUCCAUAAUUUAUUUCUAAACUUUAACCACAUAUUUUUUUAUGAAUAUCUCUAAUUAUAGAAUUUAUUGAAAAGAAUUGCUUUAAACACAACCUUUGCCCUGGUUUAAAAUUUUGAUGAAAAGAUAGGCAGGGGUUAACAAUUAAUUUUAAUCUACAACUUUUAUCAAAUUUUUAAUAACAUAUUUUAUUAAUUGUUGUCAAAAUCUAAUAAAAAUCUAAUUUUCACAAUAAAUGAAUUAAGCACGUGGACAAGCUCCUAGAAUUAGAUGCUAAAAUUUUUGAAUUUUUAAAUUUAAAUUAUUUGUCACAAUAUAAUUCUCUACCACACAUUCACACAAUAAAAUAUUCAAUACAUAAACCAAUAAAGUUUCAUUACUUUUUAACCAUACUUUCUCUAAAAAUCCUAUUCAAAACUAUUUAAUUUUUCAAAUAAAGGGAGUCAAAUAGGGCCUAAGUCCCAUCAGUAUCUUGUCUACCAAAGUAAUGUUUGCUUUAAAUAAAUAACAUUUAUAAAAAAUAUGUGCAAUGAUUUUUCAGAAAUUACAUCCUAUUUGCUUCAAUUUCAACAUCGACGGAGGGGUUAUUCUAGGAGUAAUGUUAUUUAUAAUCGCUCAAUGCGGUAGCUAUCCUACAUGACAUUUUAUAUGGCUGUUUGUAAUUUGAUAUAUUAAUGUGAUAAUUUUUUCUUGUAUUGUAUAGCAAAUCACUAACCCUCACAUGUGUAUUACGUAGGACGACUGUGAUAAUAAGUGACUGUAAGUAACAUUAUUCUUAUUCUAGAGCUCAAUCAUGGUUUUUGUACCACUUUGCGUGUGGAUUUCAUUUUAUACAUAUUUGGUUAACAACAUUAAAUAGGAUUAGACAAUAUAAUAUAUAAAAUUUUAUUAUCAAUUUCUUCUCUACUAAAAUGUAAUAAUCUAAUGACUCGUCUAUGUGACGUUGAGAUCCAUCACUUUCAAUUGAUUAAAAAUUGUAAUUUCAUUAUAAUAUUUGAUUAAAAUUUUUAUACAUAUUUAAUAAAAGUUGAUAAAAAUUGCAAGGAAUCACACAUUUUACAUUUUAUCAACUUUUACCAAAAUCUACACUUAACAUGGCUUUAGUUAGGUUCUCAAUUGUUAUCUUUGUAAUUUAAUAUUAUUCAAUACGUAAAUUUAAUGUUAGACUCAUGCAUAUCAACCUUUUACAUGACGAGAUCACGGGUUCAAAAAUUACAACCUUCGAAUUUGAAGUUCUUGUUCCUCUGCCUAUAUAAAUAUGUGAAUUUGGGUCCACAAUGAUCGAAACUAUCAAUGUAAAAGUUCAUGCAAAGUUGAAUGAAAUCAUUCAUAUCCAAUUUAACUGAAAUUCGUGUAUAAUUUGAAUGUCUACAUUAUAUUUAAUAGAUUGUGACUCAUAAUCAUACUAAGCUUUCCAUUCAAAAAUGAAUAUUUUCAUGAUGAAUUUCUCAAAAUUUUAUAACAAAUACAACACUAUGGUUUCAAUGGGACCUAUUUGAGUCUCAUUUUUUGAAAGGAUUGUGCUACAGAGCCCGAGUUUAAAUCUCGGGCUCCAAUCCAGUUGAUCGUCUACACUUGGGGGCCCGUCAUCACAAUCGGGAGCAGAGGUGGCAGGGUUUUCAACAUUUUUCUUUUUGAAAAUACAAGUUUUGAAAUAGAGUUAAAAAAAAAUAAAAAUAAAUAAAUAACAAUUUGUGGUUGUGGUUAAAAAGUAAUUAAGAGUGUGGAAUUCAAAAUAAAUUCGAGAAAAAAUGAUUUUUAGAGAAUGAGAUUGAAAAUAUAUUGAAGAAAUAUGAGGCGCUUUCGUUGAACACGACUGCCCAAGUACAUGGAAUUUGGGGAGUUGUGGUCGACCUUGGACCCCAUUUCUUUUCUCAAACUCCAUUUUGCUUUUUCUUUCUUUAUUUCCAUUUUGCAAGAUAGGUUUGUGUAUGGCCCAAUUUUUGGGUCCGUUUUAGUUGUUAUCGCCCUGAUUGUUUUGGGCCCCAGUUUAUUAUUUGUGGAAAUUACACGCAUUACCUUAAUUAAAUUCAUAAUACCAUUGUUACUUUCCCUUAUUUUUUAUUUCAGAAAAUACUAUCUUUUAAAAUUAAAAAUGCAAAGUCAUAAAUCAAAUCCAAUACCAUAUUUCACGCUCAAAAUUUUGGAAACUUUUUCACUACCCAAAUCCUUCCAUUCUUAGAGUUAAUUUCUGGCACAAUUCUAGUCCAAAUUAAAAUACAUUUCUGUUUUAUCUUCCUCAUUCCAACUUUCAUACUUGUUUCGCGCGAGUUAGUCGCUAACAAUUAAAAAGGAUCAGACGAUUGUGUAAGGGACGAAACCUCUUGAGACAAAGUCCCUAAAAGGGGUGUUCUUUUAUUGAUGAUAAACUUUACAAUUGGAAAAGAAAGACAACGUGCCUCCAAGGGGCGCAAGCACACGAGUUACUGAAAGAAAAGUGCUUAAAUCUAAAAACUAAGGAAAUGAAAAUUACAUGUUUUCUAUUCGAGAGUUUUGGAUUCGGUCCUUUGCUUCUAUGUCCUUUCUCCCUUUUAUACUUCAUAGACGAUCUCUUUGUGAUCAACUCCUAUAAAAACUGUUUGAUCGUCCUAUAACUACCCACUUUCUUCGUAAUGGCCACCUUGUUAUGAAAACUGCCUUUUAACUGCUGUCAUUACCCUUCAUCGUUCAACCACUUUCGAUUGAAUUCUUUGAAUUGUGGAACGUGAUAGGGCUGCUUUAAUAACUGCUUUGAUAACUGCACUUCUUGAUAACCACGACGCGUUAUGUUUGUUAAUACCUUGGGCGACUUGAAGGUUUGGGCGAGAAUAGAGUAACAAUUCUGGGCGACCGUAUGACACUCUAUUCAUUCAGAUUUUGGGCGACUUGCAAACUUGGGCGAUGGCGUUAUCGCAUUCUUGGGCCUCCUUAUUUGGGCCUUCAUCUUGAUUUGUUCGAUUGGGCUUCGUUCUUUGGGCUAUCUGAUUUGGGGAUCCUCCAAUUGGGCUUCACUACUUGAGCUGUUCGAUUUGGGCUGAAUUUUUAUGUGUCAACAAUUACCCCCCAAUAUGGCAGAAUUAAUAAUAAUUAUUGAAUUUUGCCAUAUUCACUUUGUGUUUCCAGCAACAUUCGAAAUUUCCAAUAAUUUCAAUCAUUGUUUCCUUCUAUAACUUGAAAAAGUGCGUCGUUUUGCAAACCCUUAUAAACCCCAGACACGCCAUUUCACUGCUACCAAACCACGCCUCAUAUUUUUUGCGUCUCUUUCAAGAUUCACUGUUCAUCUUUUGCUUUCUUGCUACGUAACCCUGAAAAGCUUCGUUCCUUCUCCAAUGGCUGCUUCACAAUCUCAAGCUAGCGAUUCCUUUAGUUUUGAUGACUUUCAGAGACUUUUGAGUCGCCCAUACAUAACCCCAAGUUUUCUCGCGCCCGCCGACGUUGGACGUAAUGAGUUUUACUUGGGUCCUUUCUUCAACAAUGCGGAGGCAGUUGAACAGGCGGCGGUGGGUCAGCUGUUUCCUUGCACUCAUGGCCCUCCUUUUCUAAACUCUCUGCCGUUGGGGCCACUUCGCGAAAGAGGUAUUCGCACUUGGCCUAAAUCUGAUGUAGCUUUUCGUAAGUGGCAUACUCGCCUUGUGGGUCAUGGUCCUACUAAUGCACUUUUUGAUAGCGCUAGGAUUUCUGAUUAGUUGGAAUUUGGAAAUCUCUGUCCGCCCCCCUACUUUCGAUUCAGCACUCUUUUCAAUUGCUUUGAGUUUUUGAUCUUCUGAGUAUAACACUUUUAUUUUCCCUCUUGGCCCCAUGUCUAUUACCUUAAGGGAUGUUGGGGCCCUAGUGAAUCUGCCACCUUUGGGUGAUACCAUUUUUCCUGAUAUCUUAGUUUUUGGUGGCGCCCCAAAGUUUGGUAGAAACUACACCGAUUCUUAUUCAAGCCUGCAGACCCUCCACAAUCAUUUGAGUGCUGAGCCUACCCAUACUGAGCGAGUGGCCUUCCUUUUAGUUUGGCUUUGUAAAAAUGUUUUGUGCGUGCCAAGUAUAAAGCCUUCUCUGAGUUAUUUACCUAUAGCGCACGAAUUGGCGCGUGACAGGCCUUUGAAUUUAUGUUCUUUAUUUUUGGCUGCCCUUUAUAGAGGCAUGGCCUCUCUUCAAGCUCAAUUGAAGAAUGGUGCAUCUCUCACUGGCAGUGAACCUCUUUGGUUCACUCAACUGUGGUUGAGAUCCUAUUUUCCAUCGUUGGGUGCUCCAUCCAUUUCUCGCCCUUCUGCUAGCUGUUAUGGGCUAGCCAUGGAGCCCUUAACUCCUGUAAAUAUGUCCAGAAGGGACCUUUUUUCAUUCUUUUAUUCUUUGGAUUCAAUCCCUUCCUUUUUUCCUUUUCCUCCUUUUUUGAUUCCAAACUAUGUACAUCCCCCUUCCACUAUAGAUAACGCGAGCACUUCCCUGCUCACUUGGAUCCAGUUUUUAACUGGGAGGGAGUUAUUUCAUGAUAUUCUAACUGGGACCAAUGCCAAAGCGGGGGUAGAGAUUUAUGCUCCCCAAUUUUUUGCUCGUCAGUUUGGUUUUGGCCAAACCUGGCCUGUUCCUCCUUGCUAUUCAAGGAACUUAGUUGACCAUUUUCAUACCAUUACUAAGGCGGAGGCAGAGGCUAUAGAUACUCGUAAUCUUCUUUUAACCAGUCAUUUUUCAUUGGCCCCCUUCAAUUCUAGCCACGCCAUUCACCCUCUUUUUGAACAACUCUAGCCGUCGGUGAAGCGCAGAUUAUUUGCGACUGAUGCCAAUCGUGCCUUUCAUUCAUUAGACCAACCGAGCAUUUCUUCUCCUCCUCCUGUUUUGGUCACUCCUUUGUCUGUUCGGAGCCCCUCUCCUUCUCGUCGCACUAAACAGUCUGCUCGUCCAUCUUCUUCUCUCCCUGCCAAGCCUACUACUGCCAAGAGUGCUCCAAGCCGCAAACGGCCAGCCUCAGCAUCUCCCAUUCUGGAGGAUGAUGUUGAUGAUGAUGAUGAUGCCCCUCUUAUCGUCAGGAGGAAGGUAAUUAAAUUGGUUUACUUACAAGUAUACUUUUUCACAUUUGAAACUUUUGUGUGUGCUGAUGAUCUUUUGGACUUUUCAGAAAAGUUCAGCCUCUCCUUCAAAGGCUUUGGCAUCGACAACUCCUGCUCCAUCAUCCUCUGCUGAGGCUACUUCAUCCAAACCGGUUGAUGAGGGGACUACGCUUAAAGAUACAUUUUCAGUCCCAGAGUCUUCAUUACAACCCAUGGAUGAGCCACCUUCUUCCCAGGGCGUCGACCCCCCAAACAUCGAAGCAGAAGGUAAUUCAAUUUUUCGAUGUCUUACCUUUGCUAGUGCUGUUGGUUUCUGACUUGUUGCUCUUGACUUUUGCAGAUACUCCUAUGAGUCCACCCGUUGUGGCAACAUCUUCUCGCUCAGACAAGGGGAAGUCCUCACGAAUGGAGGAGUCGUUAGUGGCAGACUUGGUUGAGGGCAUGCCAUCUUCCACGAUCGUUGAUGAGGUAGUCUUUGCUUCACUUCUAUUUCUAUUUUGUUCGUUAUGGUGAGCAUCUUUAACAUUGGCAAUUUUCUUUGCAGGAUGCUGACAGGAUUGUGUGUUCUAUCCAAGACUUGUUCGCUACCUGGGGGCAAGUCCAAAUGUCUCGCCCUGCUCCAUCUGAUGUUCCUGUUGCUUCUUUAGAGGAAGAUUUGAAGUUCCUAAAGGAGUCGAUAUUUGAGUACGUAUCCUUCAUGGAUAUGGAUAUUGGAAGGGCUAGUGCUGCCAGACACAAGGAUGAACUUGAGCACUUGAGUGCGAAGUUGGGGCAAGCACUGACGCUUCCGUCGCUCAAUCUUUCUGUCGAUUUUAAAGCGACGUUGAAGGUUAUCCACUCCGAGGUCCUUUCUAUGCUGGCCAAAAAUGCUGAACUAAAGGCCAAGCGUACUCAAUAUCUUCGAGCCGUAGCUGAGAAAUAGUCUUUGCGUAUGGAGAUUAACAAGGCUGAGGACGAGUUGAAAGAAAUCUCUUCCGAAAUCAUGAUUGAAGACUCUUUGAUGGUUAACUUGGCUGCUCAGAUGAGGGAACUUCAAGCUAAAAUGGACGACUGCAGGGCGAGAAUGGCUGCUAAAAAGCGCAACGCCUCCCAGGGAAUUGAGCGAACUAAGUCCUUGGUCGAGCAGUACAAGAAGUUAGAAGUUGAUGAUGAUGUCGCGGCUGAAUUGAACAUCACUUCCUCUCAGCAGAAUGAGGAUUGGGAAAAACUUAGGGAAUGAAUUCGUUCCAUAUGGGGUAGACUGUAAUUAAGACAUAUGAUGUCUUUUUCUUUUGUAAUUCGAUUUUUCCCUUUGUAACUUUGUUCAUCAUUAAUGAACAUUAACUUCUUGUGCAUUUAUUUGACGUUUAUUUUUUAGUCAUCAAUUCUUUAAGCACUUAACUGCUUUGCACUAAGAAUCUUGUCCAUUUCUUUUUGAUAUUUCCACCACUUUUCCCAAGACUUUGGGCUAUUUAAUUUCGUUUAUUAGAUAGAAAUGUGGCUGUUCAUAUUCUGUCUCUUUAUCUUCACCCCUAUAAAUGCUUCGCAUUUUUCAUCUUCUAUCUUCAUCUCUUCAUUUUCUUCUUCGAAAUCAAUUUGCUGCCAUUUCUCGGCAUUCUGACGAUCAAUCUGAUUCAAAAUGGACUGUUUAGUCCGCCCACCUUACUAUUUACCUUGAUGUCACCUUUGGUAUGGGAGGUAUAGGAAAUAUUUUCUGGCCAGCAGCGAAGUUCUUUCCUGCAAAAUUCUUCCCAUCGUCUCUUUAUUCUUCACAAGGAGUCAAAGAUGGAAGACAAUUUUUGGGCUGCUUGUGGGCCACUUUGCUUGCUGAGAGUGCUUCUCAGCUUGCCUGCUGAGAGUGCUUCUCAGCCUCUUUGCUCGCCAUUGCAGCGAUGCAUUUAGGAAGGUGGUGAGGCCAGUACACCCUCUUACUCGACAAUCCCACCAUUGCAGCAAUGCAUUUAGAAAGGCGGUGUGAAGCUUACUCAGCGAUCAACCGGGAGAUUAUCUUACUUUAGUUGUAUUUUGUAGCACAUCCAUUAUUUGUAUCUUUUGUAUUCUUGUAAUGAACGUUUGAUAAUAAAGAACUUUAUUCGAACGUAUUUCGCUCUGACCUUAUUAUCUUUUGAUCGUUCAAAAUGUUUGGUUAUGUUUUUAUCUGUUCAUAUUUCCAUAAAGAAGGAACAUAAUUUUUCAAAUAUUUGCCGUUAAUGAAUUUUACGUGCUUGGUGCCGUCUAAAUCUUCCAAGUGGUACGCUCCAUUGGCCAACACACUGUUUAUUUUGUAUAGUCCUUCCCAAUUGGGCGACCACUUCCCGUACUUUGGAUCCUUGGUAUCCAAAGGGAGUAUCGUCUUCCAAACUAGUUCAUCCAGGCUGAACGACUUGACUAUGACUUUUUUAUUAUAAAACUUAGCCAUUCUUUGCUUUUGAACUUGCAACCUAUCUAAGACGUCCAACUUCAAUUCGUCUAAACUCAAUAAAUUUUGAACUAGUGAUUCGGCAUACUCAUCAUCAUUCAACUUAUGUUGCAAGCAUGCUCGAAUCGAUUGCACGUUGAUUUCCAUAGGCAAAAUGGCCUCCUGUCCAUAAACAAGUUGGAAAGGAGUAACUUUGGUACUUGACCGAGGUGAUGUUCUAUAAGCCCAUAAGGCCUUGUUCAAACAUUCGUGCCAAUUUCUGGCGUUUUCAUCUAUCAUCUUUCUGAUGAUAUUUUUUAGAAUCUUAUUAGAAGAUUCCGCUUGUCCGUUGGAUUGAGCGUAGUAUGGUGUGGAGUUUACUAAUUUAACUCCAAAUUCGCUCAAAAAUUUGUUCACUUGAUCCCCAUUCAAAGAUGUUCUGUGAUCUACCAUUAAAGUUUGUGGAAUUCCAAACCUAUAAGGGUGAUCUCUUUCAAAGGUACCGCCUCUACCCAUUUGGUGAAAUAGUCGGUUGCAACUAUAACAAAAGUAUGUUGCUUGGACGAUGGAGGGUAGAUCUUCCCUAUCAGAUCUAUCGCCCAAUCUUUGAACGGCCAAGGUUUAAUAAUAGGUGUCAUCUCUCGUGCUGGCGCCCUUUGUAUUGGACCAUGCUUUUGGCAUGCUAAACAACUUUUUACAUACUGAACGCAUAGAUCUCCCAUCUUUGACCAAAAAUAUCCACUCCUAAUAAUUAACCAUCUCAUCCUUUGGCCAGCUGAGCUCCACAUAUCCCUUCGUGUACUUCAGCCAUGAUCGUCUUGGCUUCUUGCAAACUUACACACUUUAGUAAUACACCAUCAGAGCGUUUCUUAAACAACUCUUCAUCUAUUAGUGUGUAAUUCAGCAAACAUAGCUUUGUUUUCCUACUAAUCCCUCCAUUAGGUUCUUUAAGGAAUCCUUUAAUCUCUGUUCUCCAAUCCACUGCAUCUCCAUCUUGUAUGCAGUGAAGUUCAAUUUUUCUCGCCCUUCUUUGAGUUACGGGCAAUAUGAUUCCAUACUCACAAGUAGAUUUCCAAUUCAAGACCUUUGAGUACCCUGAAGCCAUUUGGACUAACUCAUUUGCCACGUCGUUAUAUAUCCUAUUAACGCAUUGAAGUUCUACUUGAUCGAAUUCUUCUAAUAAUUCUUGGGCGAUCUCAUAUUGACUUAUAAUGGAAUCACUUUGGCAUUUAAAAUCACCGAUCAAUUGAUGUAUCACCAAUUGAGAAUCGCCCCUAACGAUCACAUUUCUUACUCCCAUAUCUAUCAUUAGCUCUAAGCCUACAAUUAAGGCUUCAUAUUCGGCCUGAUUGUUGGUACACAUUCUGUCUAAAGUGAAUGCAAACUUGUAGCAAAUCCCUAAAGGAUUAAUCAAUGCUACUCCUACUCCUGCACCUUUAGAGGUUUUUGACCCAUCGAAUUACAACACCCAAGGUUUUAACUCGAACGAAUUGAUUUCUAGUUCGAUUUCUUCAGGUAUGUCAAGGCAUGGUUGAUCGGCUAGAAAGUUAGCCAAAACCUGAUUUUUGACUGCCUUUUGAGGUAUAUAUUGUAUUUUGAACUCUGAUAAAGUUAGUGUCCAAAGGCCUACCCGUUGGUGUAAAAUAGGGCGCGAGAACAUAUACUUAACUAAAUUUACUUUAUAAAUUAAAUAAACGGUUACGGGCUGUAAAUAAGCCCUUAAUUUUAUACAUGUGAAAUACAGUGCAAGACACAAUUUUUCAACAGCAGAGUAAUUACAUUCACAUUUCGUUAACCGUCUACUUAAGUAGUAAAUUACCCUUUCUUCACCAAAUUGGUCUUCCUGUGCGACCAUUCCAGCUAUUGAUUCUUUUUCAGCCGAUACAUACACUUUCAUUGGCCGUCCUUGGAUUGGUGACACCAACACUGGUGGAUUUGAUAGAUAUGUCUUCAGGCUUUCAAAAGCCUUUUGAUGUUCUUCUUUCCAGACGAAUUCGUCCUGAUUUUUCAGCUUUAAUAGCGGCGAAAAGAUUUUAGUUCGCCCUGCAUAGUUAGAAAUAAAGCGUCUUAAAAAUUUACUUGGCUUAGAAACCUUUGCAACUCCUUUUUGUUGCUAGGUGGUUUGACUUCUAAGAUAGCCUUCGCUUUAUUUUUAUCAAGUUCAAUCCCUCUCUUGUGUACUAAGAAACCAAGAAAAUUCCCUGUAUUAACAUCAAAUGCACACUUCAAGGGAUUCAACUUUAGCUUAUAUUGCCUCAUUCGUUCAAACGAACAUCUUAACUGUUCGAAAUGGUCUUCUUCUUUAAUGGACUUGACUACUAUGUCGUCUACAUACACCUCAACAAACUUGCCUAUCAUAUCAUGAAAGAUUAAAUUCAUUGUCCUUUGAUAAGUUGCCCCUACAUUUUUUAGGCCGAAAGGCAUAACCACCCAUUCAAAACAUCCUAGAGACCCAGGGCAUCUAAAGGCAGUUUUGUGUAUGUCUUCUUCAGCUAUAUAAAUUUGAUUGUAUCCUGAAUACCCAUCCAUGAAAGAAUACAUGAUAUGUCCGGCAGUUGAAUCUACUAAAGAAUCCACCGUGGGCAUUGGAUAUUUAUCUUUAGGUGUAGCUAUGUUUAAACUCCCAAAGUCUAUACACACCCUUAGUUUACCAUUCUUUUUUAGUACUGGCACAAUAUUCGACAACCAUUCAAUAUAUCUGGCUGUUCUUAUAAAACCUGCUUUCAAUAAUCGCUCUAUCUCUUUCUUAAUCUCAGGGAAUACAUUAGGAGCAAAAUACCUAGGAGAUUGCCUAUGAGGUUUAAAAUUAGGCUUAGUUGGUAACCUAUUUCCACCAAGUCUCUAUCUAAACCAAGCAUUUGUUCAUAUUCCCAAGCAAAACAAUCUUUGUACUCUUUUAACAAAGCGAUUAAUUUGUUACUAACCUCUUGGUCGAGUAUCUGGCUAAUGAACGUUGGGUGAUCUUCUCCUUCAUCGCCAAUAUUUACUUUGAUCAGAGGGUCUUGUGCUUGAGCGUAUCCAGGUUUGGCAAUCCGCAUCACUUCGUCGUCUAGUUCUUUUGUAAGUACUUCCUCCUCCAAACAGUCCACCUUGUUGACUUCUCGGCCAAUGCUUUGCUCUAACUCGAAUACUGACAACUUGUCCUUCAGCGCUUUUAGGGCAGUCUCUUCCUUCGCCUUGUUACUGCAUUCCUUAUUGAAAGCCAUCAGUCUGGCUUUGAAGGCUUGAAUGUCGGCCAUUUGCUUUUGUAACUUAAAGUCCAUUCAAGACUCCUUAAUUAUUCUUUUGCCAAUUACUGGCUCUUCUAGGGCCACUAUAUUUGGCCUCAUCUGUUUGAACAUCUUAGUGAGUGCGUCCACUGAGAAUGGUUCUUCGCUUUGCGCGACGACCUGAGUUUCUUCCCCGUCUUGUACCACUCUGACAGGUCCAUAGUUUCCUUCGUACAUGAACUUUUCCACCGAAUUUGCUUCUGCGACAAAAGGCCUAUGAUCGGCUUGUACCACCUCUGCUUCGCCUUUGUCAUUCCAAAAGAUCAGGCAUUGAUGGAGCGACGAGGGUAUACAGCGACUUCCGUGUAUCCAAUCUCUUUCUAGGAGCACGUUGUAACUAGUAGGACCAUCUAUUACAAAGAAGACGGUGGUCCUAGUAGUCGUAUCUAUAGUUAUGUAUAAUGGCAUAACUCCCUUAGCUGAAAUUGCUCCUCCAUUGAAGCUAGUGAGGAUGACUUCUGUAGGAAUCAUGUCACCCUCUGUUUUUGCGAACUUUCUCAUCAUCCUAGAUGGAAUGGUGUUUAUAGCCGCUCCAUUGUCGACAAGCACUUUUGCCACUGGGACGCCAUUAACUAGAGCUUUAACGUAUAAUGGCCUCAAGUGUUUAGUCAAUUUCAUGGCUGGCCGUUUAAAAAUAACCUUUUCAGCAGCCUCUAUUUCUACCUCUUGCUUGUUUUCUGUCGAAUUAUCCCCCUGUGAUAAGUCGACGUGUAGUAUAUCACGCUGAUCCUUUGUUUCCUGAACUUCCUUCUUACUUUUUUCUAAUGCUUCCUCAUCAGUUAUCCAACCUGUGGGAGGGGGCAUUAUUCUUGGAGGUGACCUAUACUUUUCAGAGCGAGGCACUCUCUUCUUCCUUUUGGGUGUCCCGUACAGUACGUAGAAAUCGAAAGGACGCCCAGAUGGCUCCCCCAACAAGUCUACUUCGCGAACUCCCUCUUGAUGUAGUUGCUUAAGCAGAGUAUUGCGCGAUAUUCCUCUCUUUUUCCUUUCUGCUUCUAGAUCGAUUUCUUCUUCAAUGUCCGUCAUCCCAUCGUCUUCCUCGUCAUUGUAGGCCUCUCCAGAAGUUUGGCCUUCUUCACAUACUAACACGCAGGCUUCUCCUUCGUUGUCCUCCCUCUCUUCUUCCUUUUCCUUAUUCUUGAAUUCAUUGACCAGUAGAUAAUUAUUGGCCAUAACAGGAGGCAACGUACCGAAUUGGAUAGCAAGUGGCUGAUCUGGAUCUUCUUCAUCCCUCUUGUCCCUCUCAAACCUUGAUCUCCCAGAAGAGGUUUCUGGCAGUUCCUUCAUUGAUUCAUCUGUACCGAUUUCUUUACUACUUUUGACGACGUUUUGAUUGGCUACCCUGAGUAGUAUAGGCGCUUUAGGAUGUGUCAUUCCUUGUUGCUGCCUCAUCAUCCAUCCGUAGUUUCGUUGGAAACGCCUUUGUUGGGUCCUAGUCAUCUUAUCGAAGGGUAUUGCCCUUCCUGCACUGUACUGAAAUGAAUGCCAUACAUUUGGCCGGCGAGCUUACGGCCUAAAUGUUCUUCCAGUAUCUGCUGGUCUGAACUGCCUUUCAAAAGGCGGUCCUCUAUAGAAUGAUGUACCUCGCCCUCUACCAGGCUGAAUGUUUGGGAAGAAGGCAGGGCGAUGAGGAUGCUGCCAUGUCCCUGGUUUCUCCAUGUUUCCAUUUACUUCUCUUUUACACCUUGCACACAGGACGUCUUCGUCCUUUUUUGGUUCUUUUCCCUUGAUUCGUUCAAAUACGCUGGGAUGUGGUCUAGGAUCUUCUUCUCCGUCAUCUACGACCAAGUUGAAUUUUGGUAACUUGUUCUUGAAUCCAGAUGUUACCAUAUUUACUCCAAGUGGCUGUGGGAAAGGAUUCUCGUCCACUGCCAUCUUUUUCUUAUCAUCGAACGUAAUUUGUCCUAAUUCAAUGGCAUCCUGCAAUACAUGACGGAAAACCAAGCAAUUGUUAGUCAAAUAUGACCAUGCAUUAUGCCACUUACAAUAUUUUUUACCCUUAAUUUGUUCAGGGUUUGGCAAUUUGUGCUUAUCGCUCAACUUUAUCUGCUUAUCCCUAUAUAAUUUAUCGAAUAUAAGGUCAGCUUUGAUCACGUCGAACGAGAACGCUCUAGCCUUUACGUUUCCAUCCUUUAUGGGCUCAUCUCUGCCCGAUGGUCUAGGCUUGGCCAUUAUGGGACAAGUAUAUGUAUCCCCUUUGACCAAUUCGGCCAAAUACAUUUCGGCCUGAUCGUAUGACUCAUCGUCGAUGGUAUGAACGUCGAAAUUUGGGUCUUUGUAAUAAGUCCCUUUACUAGAAUUUUUCAUUUGUUCUUCCUCUCUUAUCAGUCACUCAUACCUAAUCACAUUUGCACUCAACUGGAAAAGAUCAGGAAAUUCCUUGUCCUGGAACUUCUUUUUUAAAUCAAAGCUCAAGCAGCCCUGAGCGAUCUUGACAAAUUCUUUUUCGGACAGAGGUACAAAACACUUGCUCCUUGCUGUCUUGAACCUUUGGAGAAAACUUUCUGCUCAUUCAUUUGGCAUUUGACGUAAAUUCGCCAAAUCGGUCAAAGUGACUUCAGACUCAGUUUUAUAAAAUUGAGCGUGAAACAACUGUUCUAAUUGUUGCCAUGUUUGAACAGAGUUCGCUGGCAAGUUGAUGAACCAGGAGAAAGCUACUCCUGUUAACGAACUAGGGAAAAGCCUCAUUUUAUGGUAGUCGGUUACAUCACCACUCUGCAAUGUGAAUCGCCCUAUGUGUUCUAGAGUAGACACCUUUCCUAAACCGGUAAACAGUAAGAAUUCUGGUGGCCAUGGAUAUGCUUGGUCUACCCAAUCAGGAUACGGCUUUGUGUACAUUGGCCUGAUGACGGGACGUACCCCAAAAGCCAUCUGAUCCUGUACGAUUUCCAUAAUCUGGUUCCUCAACGUGGCGUUGGGGUCAUAUGGAAUUCCUACAGGCUAAUUAACCGGUUGAUUUGCAUGAAGCCUGAUGUUUGGUCCUUGAUUGGCAACAAAAUUAUCAUAAUUAGGGUCAUUACCAUUAGCCUGAACACCUGUUCCUUCAUUAACACGUGGGGUCUGCUGUCCAUUGUUUAGGACAUUAUCUCUUAUGUUUGGAUUACCCCCCAAGUUAGGCAUACUACUAUCAUUGUUCUGAUUUGGCAUUGUAGUACCUCCUUGGUUUGAAGUAGAGGGAUUAGAAAGCGGUUCGACCCCUUGACUCGGAUUUAGGAUCGAGGGACUAUGUCCCACAAUUGUCCUAGUUUGAAAGUGGUUUGUAAGAGGUAUAGCCGGUUGACAUAUUUGGCCUACUAACUUAUUCAUUGUCUCGUUCAAUGUCUUUAGUUGUUUGGCCAUGUUAUCAUAGUGCAUAUUCCCAUUUUGAGUAAAUCUUUCCAUAUUAUGAAUACUUCGAAGAUUUACCUGUUCAACGACGUCUUGCGUGAGUUCUCCAAGUAAUGCUCGCAUGGUUCGAAGACUCAACUCCGUCAUUAGUUCAUAACGACUGUUACUGCUCUGGUUCUGUCCAUCUGUUCGUGGAGAGGCAUGCUGCUCCUCAUAUCGCUCGAUCACAGACUGGAUUCCUCCCUGACUUGCUACUUCCUUAUUGGAUCUCUGAGGCAUAUUGUUUUCCCUUUUGUACUUUCAACACCUAACACCACUAUCCCACUGGGCGUGCCAAAUUGUUUCGCGCGAGUUAGUAGCUAACAAUUAAAAAGGAUCAGACGAUUGUGUAAGGGACGAAACCUCUUGAGACAAAGUCCCAAAAAGGGGUGUUCUUUUAUUGGUGAUGAACUUUACAAUUGGAAAAGAAAGACAACGUGCCUCCAAGGGGCGCAAGCACACGAGUUACUGAAAGAAAAGUGCUUAAGUCUAAAAACUAAGGAAAUGAAAAUUACAUAUUCUCUGUUCGAGAGUUUUGGAUUCGGUCCUUUGCUUCUAUGUCCUUUCUCCCUUUUAUACUUUAUAGACGAUCUCUUUGUGAUCAACUACUUUAAAAACUGCUUGAUCGUCCUAUAACUGCCCACUUUCUUCGUAAUGGCCACCUUGUUAUGAAAACUGCCUUUUAACUGCUGUCAUUACCCUUCAUCGUUCAACCGCUUUCGAUUGAAUUCCUUGAAUUGUGGAACGUGAUAGAGCUGGUUUAAUAACUGCUUUGAUAACUGCACUUCUUGAUAACCACGACGCGUUAUGUUUGUUAAUACCUUGGGCGACUUGAAAGUUUGGGCGAGAAUAGAGUAACAGUUCUGGACAACCGUAUGACACUCUAUUCGUUCAGAUUCUGGGCGACUUGCAAACUUGGGCGAUGGCGUUACCGCAUUCUUGGGCCUCCUUAUUUGGGCCUUCAUCUUGAUUUGUUCGAUUGGGCUUCGUUCUUUGGGCUAUCUGAUUUGGGGAUCCUCCAAUUGGGCUUCACUCAUUGGGCUGUUCGAUUUGGGCUGAAUUUUUAUGUGUCAACAAUACUAUACAUCAUUGCAAUGCUAAUCUUUAAAGUUGAAAUCCCCAGAUUUCAUUUUUUGUUUUUACACCAAAAAUUGUGCAACAUAGAACUGGAGAUUAAGAAUUCGAAGAAUAAUGUUUUGUAAAAAUGUAUUUUUGCAUAUUAGAGAACUUAAAUCAUUUUAAGGUAUAUUACAGAAUAAUGGGCAGAUUUGUGUUUUUUUAGUAGUUUGGACAGAUUAGCAUCUUAGCAUUUUGAUAUACUGUUGUUAAGUUUUAUUAGUAAAUUGAAUUGCUCCUUCUAAUUUCGAAUGUUAAUUUGUUGAUGUCCACUCCCCAACAUUCAUUAUAUUUGUGUUACUUAUAGUAACCAGGGGCGGAUCUAGAUUCAAUCUUCAGUUAGGGCGGUGAUUGACUUUGACCGUUGACGAUCAACGAUUGUAAUAGCUCGAUCGUUUAUUCAAAUUCGAUUAAAUACAAUAAAAAAUUGUUCAAUAUUUUGUAAAAUACUCCAAUUUUAUUUUCAAUUAGAAUUGAUCAAAAAUCACAAUUCUCUGUAAUAACUCCUAAUUUGGUUUUCUAUAUGAAUUGAAGAUUGAUUCACUAACUAAUUAAUAAAUAAUACGUAUAAUUAAAACACAAAAUACAUCAUUGCAUAUUUGCAUCAAAGUACAAACAAUACUCAAAGCAAUUAUCAACAGACACUCAACAAUCAACACACUUCACUCAACAAAUCAAUAGACAACAAUUCAACAGUCAACAAAGGGUUUGCAACAAAAAGAAUUCAACAUUCAACCAAAAAAAUUCAAGUAUUCAACUCACCCACGCUGCUUGUUCGGCCUCGAUUGUCCCUGACUUCGCACAAUCGCACCAGUUUGCACACGGUCCACCAUCCACAACUGCUCGCACAGUCGCACUCGUACUUCCCACCCAUUUCAUUCGCAGGCGCCGCAGCUACUGCUUC
Molecule: long non-coding RNA, 22264 nt
Filed under: Olea europaea (common olive)
Lineage: Eukaryota; Viridiplantae; Streptophyta; Magnoliopsida; Lamiales; Oleaceae
Description: long non-coding RNA (OEUR_LNC000067)
Source: RNAcentral